Molecule: ribosomal RNA, 443 nt
Filed under: uncultured bacterium
Lineage: Bacteria
Description: partial 16S ribosomal RNA
Rfam family: Bacterial small subunit ribosomal RNA
Source: RNAcentral
CCUACGGGAGGCAGCAGUGGGGAAUAUUGGGCAAUGGGCGCAAGCCUGACCCAGCAACGCCGCGUGAAGGCAUAAGGCUCUCGGGUUGUAAACUUCUUUUCUCAGGGACGAAGCAAGAGACGGUACCUGAGGAAUAAGCCACGGCUAACUACGUGCCAGCAGCCGCGGUAAUACGUCGGUGGCAAGCGUUAUCCGGAUUUACUGGGGGUAAAGGGCGUGUAGUCGGGACUGCAAGUCAGAUGUGAAAACCAUGGGCUCAACCUAUGGCCUGCAUUUGAUACUGUAGUUCUUGAGUACUGGAGAGGCAGACGGAAUUCCUAGUGUAGCGGUGAAAUGCGUAGAUAUUAGGAGGAACACCAGUGGCGAAGGCGGUCUGAUGGACAGCAACUGACGCUGAGGCGCGAAAGCGUGGGGAGCGAACAGGAUUAGAUACCCGGGUAGUC